GACGAACGCUGGCGGCGUGCUUAACACAUGCAAGUCGAACGGUGAAGCGCCUUCCUUUUUGGUGGGUGUGGAUGAGUGGCGAACGGGUGAGUAACACGUGAGUAACCUGCCCCCUUCUUCUGGAUAACCGCAUGAAAGUGUGGCUAAUACGGGAUAUUCUGGGUCUGUCGCAUGAUGGGUCUGGGAAAGAUAUUGUUUCGGUGGGGGAUGGGCUCGCGGCCUAUCAGCUUGUUGGUGGGGUGAUGGCCUACCAAGGCGGGGACGGGUAGCCGGCCUGAGAGGGUGGACGGUCAGACUGGGGAGGAGGCCCGGCCCAGACUGCUAUGGGAGGCAGCAGUGGGGAAUAUGGGACAAUGGGGGCAAGCCUGAUGCAGCGACGCCGCGGGAGGGAUGGGGGCGUUCGGGUUGUGAACCUCUUUCGCUAGUGAAGCAGGGCUGCCUCGUUUGUGGGUGGGUUGACGGUAGCUGGAUAAGAAGCGCCGGCUAACUACGUG
RNAcentral lists this ribosomal RNA (494 nucleotides) under uncultured bacterium. RNAcentral's name for it is "partial 16S ribosomal RNA". It matches the Rfam family "Bacterial small subunit ribosomal RNA", at positions 28 to 507 of the family's 1533-position model. The record is from RNAcentral.